CCCUCCCUCUUUCUUCCUGCCUAACACAUGCAAGUCGAACGAGACCUUCGGGUCUAGUGGCGCACGGGUGCGUAACGCGUGGGAACCUGCCCUUAGGUUCGGAAUAACUCCCCGAAAGGGGUGCUAAUACCGGAUAAUGUCUUCGGACCAAAGAUUUAUCGCCUUUGGAUGGGCCCGCGUUGGAUUAGCUAGUUGGUAGGGUAAAAGCCUACCAAGGCGACGAUCCAUAGCUGGUCUGAGAGGAUGAUCAGCCACACUGGGACUGAGACACGGCCCAGACUCCUACGGGAGGCAGCAGUGGGGAAUAUUGGACAAUGGGCGAAAGCCUGAUCCAGCAAUGCCGCGUGAGUGAUGAAGGCCUUAGGGUUGUAAAGCUCUUUUACCCGGGAUGAUAAUGACAGUACCGGGAGAAUAAGCUCCGGCGAACUCCGU
Molecule: ribosomal RNA, 432 nt
Filed under: uncultured bacterium
Lineage: Bacteria
Description: partial 16S ribosomal RNA
Rfam family: Bacterial small subunit ribosomal RNA
Source: RNAcentral